This 722-nucleotide long non-coding RNA is filed under the name Phocoena sinus (vaquita). Its description in RNAcentral is "lncRNA (ENSPSNG00000002307.1)". Lineage: Eukaryota; Metazoa; Chordata; Mammalia; Artiodactyla; Phocoenidae. The record is from RNAcentral.
GGGACAUGUAGUUUUCUCGCGGCAUUGUGGGAGUCGUGGUUCGUGUUCUGGCGGCGAGCUGGAUCUUCCGUGGCCUGGAGUUGAUAAGACUCCGGAGCCGCACUGGAUGUGUUCGAAUCUCAGUCCCCACCGUGACUCUGGACGUGUCACAGAAACUUUGUUUCCUCAUCUCCAAAGUGUAGACGAUGGGACGGAGGCCCCCAGAGGGAAGUCACUUACCAGAGUGUGUAGGCUCUUCAUCCAGAGCUCAAGUCUUCUGACUCUUGGGGACAGUGAGACCUGCCGCUCCGGCCCCCUCUCCAACUUGCCUGAGUGGAGUGGCCCGCACUGACCAGGAGGGAGCUCCCAGUUGGCCCAGCAUGAACUGGAAGGUUCUUGAACACGUGCCCCUGCUGCUGUAUAUCUUGGCAGCGAAAACAUUAAUUCUCUGCCUGGCGUUUGCCGGAGCCAAAGUAUACCAAAGGAAAAAAUUGGAAGCAAAACGGCAAAAACUGGAAGCUGAAAAGAAGCAGCAGUCAGAGAAGAAGGAUAACUAAAGGGAAAUCAAAGAUUUUGUAAUUUAAAUGUCAGCUUGAGUGGACUCCAGCUGAGAUGAAAGAUUUAAUGAUUGAAUGGUAUGUCAGAAGAUAAACUCCCAGCCUAUAGUCUAACUUAAAACGACGUGAAUUUUUCUGUGCUUUUAAAAGAACCAGUAUUUUGUUUACGAAAAUAAAAUACCUUUG